This 424-nucleotide ribosomal RNA is filed under the name Verrucomicrobiota bacterium. RNAcentral describes it as "Verrucomicrobia bacterium partial 16S ribosomal RNA". It matches the Rfam family "Bacterial small subunit ribosomal RNA", at positions 355 to 776 of the family's 1533-position model. Lineage: Bacteria; Pseudomonadati; Verrucomicrobiota. The record is from RNAcentral.
UGAGGAAUAUUGGUCAAUGGGCGAGAGCCUGAACCAGCCAAGUAGCGUGCAGGAUGACGGCCCUAUGGGUUGUAAACUGCUUUUAUAUGGGAAUAAAGUGAGGGACGUGUCCCUUAUUGCAUGUACCAUAUGAAUAAGGACCGGCUAAUUCCGUGCCAGCAGCCGCGGUAAUACGGAAGGUCCAGGCGUUAUCCGGAUUUAUUGGGUUUAAAGGGAGCGUAGGCUGUUUGUUAAGCGUGUUGUGAAAUGUAAGAGCUCAACUUUUAGAUUGCAGCGCGAACUGGCAGACUUGAGUGCGCACAACGUAGGCGGAAUUCAUGGUGUAGCGGUGAAAUGCUUAGAUAUCAUGACGAACUCCGAUUGCGAAGGCAGCUUACGGGAGCGCAACUGACACUAAAGCUCGAAGGUGCGGGUAUCGAACAGG